ACGGGGUGCAGCAGGCGCGAAAACUUUACAAUGCGAGAAAUCGUGAUAAGGGAACUCCGAGUGCCCGUAAAAUCGGGCUGUCCAUCGGUUUAAAUAACCGGUGAAGAAAGGGCCGGGCAAGACCGGUGCCAGCCGCCGCGGUAAUACCGGCGGCUCGAGUGGUGGCCACUAUUACUGGGCUUAAAGCGUUCGUAGCUGGUCUGUUAAGUCUCUGGGGAAAUCUUCCGGCUCAACCGGAAGGCGUCUCAGGGAUACUGGCAGACUAGGGACCGGGAGAGGUGAGGGGUGCUCCAGGGGCAGGAGUGAAAUCCUGUAAUCCUUGGGGGACCACCUGUGGCGAAGGCGCCUCACCAGAACGGCUCCGACAGUGAGGAACGAAAGCUGGGGGAGCAAACCGGAUUAGAUACCCGGGUAGUCCCAGCUGUAAACGAUGCGCGUUAGGUGUAUCGGUGACCACGAGUCACCGAGGUGCCGAAGAGAAAUCGUGAAACGUGCCGCCUGGGAAGUACGGUCGCAAGGCUGAAACUUAAAGGAAUUGGCGGGGGAGCAC
This 550-nucleotide ribosomal RNA is filed under the name uncultured archaeon. RNAcentral describes it as "bacterial SSU rRNA". It matches the Rfam family "Archaeal small subunit ribosomal RNA", at positions 325 to 879 of the family's 1478-position model. The record is from RNAcentral.